Molecule: long non-coding RNA, 713 nt
Organism: Dendroctonus ponderosae (mountain pine beetle)
Lineage: Eukaryota; Metazoa; Arthropoda; Insecta; Coleoptera; Curculionidae
Exons: 2
Source: RefSeq, a predicted model, not a curated record
UUGAUGGGUUUUUUUUAUCGGGAUCAAUCGCAGGCACGCCUCGACGCAUUUUAUUCAAAACAACUCAAACAGUACCUCAAGGCUAAGUAGCGAGUACAAAAAAUUGUUGCGUAAUUUUUCAAUAAGCCAGUUUGCGUAACUGUGAGACACUGAUGCGCGCUGCCAGCAAAAUAAUGUGGGUUAGACCGUUCGUCUGUCUUUACCCGAGCAACUAGCUGAAUUUGGUGUUUGAAAAAUCCACUUGCAAUUUAGGUCAUCUAACUAGACAAGCUUGGAGCAGGUCCAAGUUGGACUUUUAUGAAUGUUUCAACUGCUUGGUCGCGUGCACUCGUUAGGGAAGGUCGGGAAACUGCAACUAAACCCACUUGUGCAUUUGAUGCCCACCCAAUGUUCAAUUAAAAUUCCCGCAUCAAACAAUGGAGGAGAAAAAUACCAUUUGAACACAUUCAAGGUUUCAGCCUUGCUCCGUUAGCAAAUUCCGGUACCAUCGGAACGCCAAUGCAGCCAAAACAGUUGAUCGCCGACCCUGAACGCCCGAAAAUACAUUCCGUUAGUUGAUUUUCUAAAUUAGUUAUUGAGCAAGACCACGCAUUUUUCGGCAGCUUACGUAAUACGCCGAAUAGAUUAAUAUGUAACCGACAGCUUCGGUUUUAUUGCUUUUACCUUGUAGCUCAUAUGAUGUGGUUUUUAUUCAAUAGAAUGAGGUGCUGAAA